This 282-nucleotide ribosomal RNA is filed under the name uncultured bacterium. RNAcentral's name for it is "partial 16S ribosomal RNA". It matches the Rfam family "Bacterial small subunit ribosomal RNA", at positions 123 to 406 of the family's 1533-position model. The record is from RNAcentral.
AACCUGCCCCAGACUCUGGGAUAAGCACUGGAAACGGUGUCUAAUACCGGAUACGAACUUCCGCCGCAUGGUGAGGAGUUGGAAAGAAUUUUGGUCUGGGAUGGACUCGCGGCCUAUCAGCUAGUUGGUGAGGUAAUGGCUCACCAAGGCGACGACGGGUAGCCGGCCUGAGAGGGUGACCGGCCACACUGGGACUGAGACACGGCCCAGACUCCUACGGGAGGCAGCAGUGGGGAAUAUUGCACAAUGGGCGAAAGCCUGAUGCAGCAACGCCGCGUGAGG